Molecule: ribosomal RNA, 253 nt
Filed under: uncultured bacterium
Lineage: Bacteria
Description: partial 16S ribosomal RNA
Rfam family: Bacterial small subunit ribosomal RNA
Source: RNAcentral
UACGAGGGGGGCAAGCGUUGUUCGGAAUUAUUGGGCGUAAAGGGAGCGUAGGCGGUUCUGUAAGUCGUGUGUGAAAUCUUCGGGCUCAACCCGAAGUCUGCACACGAAACUGCAGGGCUUGAGUAUGGGAGAGGUGAGUGGAAUUCCUGGUGUAGCGGUGAAAUGCGUAGAUAUCAGGAGGAACACCUGUGGCGAAAGCGGCUCACUGGACCAUUACUGACGCUGAGGCUCGAAAGCUAGGGGAGCAAACAGG